GAUGAACGCUGGCGGCGUGCCUAAUACAUGCAAGUCGAGCGAACGGACGAGAAGCUUGCUUCUCUGAUGUUAGCGGCGGACGGGUGAGUAACACGUGGAUAACCUACCUAUAAGACUGGGAUAACUUCGGGAAACCGGAGCUAAUACCGGAUAAUAUUUUGAACCGCAUGGUUCAAAAGUGAAAGACGGUCUUGCUGUCACUUAUAGAUGGGUCCGCGCUGCAUUAGCUAGUUGGUAAGGUAACGGCUUACCAAGGCAACGAUGCAUAGCCGACCUGAGAGGGUGAUCGGCCACACUGGAACUGAGACACGGUCCAGACUCCUACGGGAGGCAGCAGUAGGGAAUCUUCCGCAAUGGGCGAAAGCCUGACGGAGCAACGCCGCGUGAGUGAUGAAGGUCUUCGGAUCGUAAAACUCUGUUAUUAGGGAAGAACAUAUGUGUAAGUAACUGUGCACAUCUUGACGGUACCUAAUCAGAAAGCCACGGCUAACUACGUG
RNAcentral lists this ribosomal RNA (497 nucleotides) under uncultured bacterium. Its description in RNAcentral is "partial 16S ribosomal RNA". It matches the Rfam family "Bacterial small subunit ribosomal RNA", at positions 28 to 507 of the family's 1533-position model. The record is from RNAcentral.